UAGAGGAACAGUGUCCAAGGCCAUUUAACAGACCUAUCAGCUUUGCAGAUCCUGUCGUGUCUAACUGCCAUGGCUAAGGAACAAUGCUUUGGCAUUAUCCACCUUCCCCUUGUUGCAAGGCUGAUCAAGUCCUGGCAAGUUGACACUAUCUUUCUGGAGUCUUCACCAUCCACAUUUGCUUGCAUACCCUCUGAAGUGGGCUCAUUUGUGAUGCCAGCUGUCCAUGCAAUGAAAUUGAAAAGUUCAUUUGGCACAAGAUGAAGAUGCUGCUGCAUCGUGUACAACUUCUGCUGCAAGAAAUGUUGGUAUCCAGCUUCAUAAAGGUUAUCGGAAUGUUUAUCCUCUGUUUUUGUGGAGAUGCAUCUUGUGUAGUCCCUGAAGCAUCUUGUGUAGUCCAGGGAGUUAGGUGGCUGAGUGGUUAGAAAAUCGGGCUAGUAAUCAGAAGGUUGCUGGUUCGAUUCCUGGCCGUGUCAAAUUACAUUGUGUCCUUGGGCAAGGCACUUUACCCUACUUGCCUCGGGGGAAUGUCCCUGUACUUACUGUAAGUCGCUCUGGAUAAGAGCAUCUGCUAAAUGACUAAAUGUAAAUGAAGCAACUUAAGUGGUACCUUGCCUCUGAAGCAACCAGAUCCCUGCCACGGAUAUGCAGUAAGAGGUUUUCAUCCAUCCUCCUCUCAGCAGCAAGUAGCAGCUUGCCAGCUGUGAGUGUUUCACACACUAUACAUUUUUCCUUUAGUGUCUUUCUGCUAAAUUUCUGUUUUGUAUUUUUCCCUUUUGCAUAUAAUGCAGUUUAAUGGGAGCAGAUGGCUAGCUCGCUUUGAUACACCAACUCCAAUAAGGCUUGAGCGUAGGGCUCGAAUUGUUGUUGGUGAUUCCUCAGGUAAAGGAUCUUUUAGGGCUUGUACCUCUUUGUAUUGCAAGACAAAACAGAAGGAAAGAGAGUAGUUCUUUUAGAUUAGAUCCAUUUCUUGAACUAAAUAUUUACUUAUUAUUAAUAAUAAUAUAUUCACAUAAUAUGUACUUCCAAUGAAUUGAACGUGUUGAGUUGUGUGGUUGACUAGAGUGGCAAGGUUAUGUAUACGAUUUGUUUAAUCAAGACUACUUUCUCUGUCCUGCUACAAGCCAUCUUUGUCCUGCCCAUCCUCUGCCCUAACCCUCCUGUCCCUUAUUAAGCAUGCAAUGUAUGUCAACUCAUUUUCUAAUAAAAUGUAUGGUGCACAUAGAUUGUAACAGCAAAACUGAUUCUGUAGUAAGUUAUUUGUAUACACUGACUCCAUUGUACAUCUUGCCAUAAAAAAUACUGAAUUUCAUACACACCUUCUGUUUGGAAAACCUUCUCCACAGCUGCCUUUUCUAUCCUCUUGUGUGCUCUAGAUAUAUUGGUAGUGUUGGUGAAGUUACUG
Molecule: long non-coding RNA, 1402 nt
Organism: Osmerus eperlanus (European smelt)
Lineage: Eukaryota; Metazoa; Chordata; Actinopteri; Osmeriformes; Osmeridae
Exons: 3
Source: RefSeq, a predicted model, not a curated record